This 1796-nucleotide ribosomal RNA is filed under the name Trachelotractus entzi. RNAcentral's name for it is "eukaryotic LSU rRNA". It matches the Rfam family "Eukaryotic large subunit ribosomal RNA", at positions 86 to 1862 of the family's 3401-position model. Lineage: Eukaryota; Ciliophora; Litostomatea; Haptorida. The record is from RNAcentral.
AGGGCGACUGAAGCGGCAAAAGCUCGAAAUUAAAAUCUGGAAAUCAAUGAUUUCCCGAAUUGUAAUCUAAGUUGGAAUACCUAAAUACAGGAUGGCUCUUAAAGUUCCUUGAUUGGACUGCCAUAGAGGGUAAAAGCCCCGUAAAGGGUUGUCCUGAUUUAAGGUAUUCUUUUCAAUGAGUCGGGUUGCUUGGUACUGCAGCCUUAAGAUGGGAGGUAAAUUUCUUCCAAAGCUAAAUAUGGAUGGGAGACCGAUAGCGAACAAGUACUGUGAAGGAAAGAUGAAAAGAACUUUGAAAAGAGAGUGAAAAGAUCUGAAAUCAUUGAGAAGGAAGCUGUAAAAACUUACUGUAGUUGUGAUGUGACAACACAAGAAAAGUUGUGGAGUCUCGAUCAAGACUGCGGGCCGGAUGAGGUUUCUGGAUCCUAGUAUUAACAAGGUUCCGGGGGCCUGAGGGACUACGGUGAUUCGGCCAAAACGGUUUUUACUGACCCGUCUUGAAACACGGACCAAGGAGUCUAACACAUAUGCGAGUGUGCGAGUGGAGAAACUCAUACGCGAAAUGAAAGUGAAAGAUGCGAAGAUUCUGCAGCAUCGACCGACUCUUUGAGGGUUUGAGUAUGAGCAUAUUUGUUAGGACCCGAAAGAUGGUGAACUAUGCCUGAAUAGGUUGAAUUCAGAGGAAACUUUGAUGGAGGACCGAAGCGAUACUGACGUGCAAAUCGUUCGUCAAAUUUGGGUAUAGGGGCGAAAGACUAAUCGAACCAUCUAGUAGCUGGUUCCCUCCGAAAUUUCCCUUAGGAUAGCUGAAACAAUAAUGCAGUUUUAUCAGGUAAAGCGAAUGAUUAGAGGAAUCGGGACGUUCUAGUCUCGACCUAUUCUCAAACUUUAAAUUGGUAAGAUCUCCUGGUUAUCUUUAUUGAACUGGGAGGGAAAAUGCAUGUUUCUAGUGGGCCAUUUUUGGUAAGCAGAACUGGCGAUGAGGGAUGCUCCUAACGUCGAGUUAAGGUGCCUAACUAUACGUUCAUCAGAUACCAUAAAAGGUGUUGAUUUAUAUAAACAGUGGGACGGUGGACAUAGAAGUUGUUAUCCGCUAAGGAGUGUGUCAUAACUCACCCACCGAAUGAAUUAGCCCUGAAAAUGGAUGGCGCUCAAACCCAUAAAAGGUGUUGAUUUAUAUAAACAGUGGGACGGUGGACAUAGAAGUUGUUAUCCGCUAAGGAGUGUGUCAUAACUCACCCACCGAAUGAAUUAGCCCUGAAAAUGGAUGGCGCUCAAACCGUAUGACCAAUACUCGACCAUUAACGCAAAAGUACGUGUUAAUGAGUAGGAGGGCGUGGAAGUUGUGAGAAGCUUUUGGCGUGAGCCUGAGUGGAACGGCUUCUAGUGCAGAUCUUGGUGGUAGUAGCAACUAUUCAAAUGAGAACUUUGAAGGCCGAAGUGGAGAAGGGUUCCCUGUGAACAGUAAUUGGUCAGGGGUCACUCGAUCCUAAGGCUCUGGUUUACUCUGUAUAAGGAGCUCUCAAGCUCGGGCCGAAAGGGAAUCAGGUUGAUAUUCCUGAAGCUGUGGUGGUUUCGUGGCAACACAAACUUGUUCAGAGACAUCUGCACGUGCUCCUGGAAGAGUUUUCUUUUCUUUUUAACAAACUAGUGACCUUGAAAUUGGAUUAUCCAGAGAUAAGGUUAUAUGUUUGGAAUAGCACUACGCUUUUUAGUGGUGUCAGGUGCGCUCGUGAGGAUCCUUGAAAAUCUGAACAAGAAUAAUUCACCGCAGGUCGUACCCAUAACCGCAUCAG